This 718-nucleotide ribosomal RNA is filed under the name Placozoan sp. BZ10101. RNAcentral describes it as "large subunit ribosomal RNA". It matches the Rfam family "Bacterial large subunit ribosomal RNA", at positions 167 to 1055 of the family's 2925-position model. Lineage: Eukaryota; Metazoa; Placozoa. The record is from RNAcentral.
UGGCGUGGGGGAGAAAAAAACUGGAAACUGAAACAUCUUAGUACCAGAAUAAAAAAUCAACCGAGAUCCCAAAAGUAGUGAGAACGAAAAUGGGGAAAUUUAUCGAACAAAGAGGGUAAAUAUUUAACAGUCCCGUAGAUAGAACAUAUGAAAAAGGAGAAAACUAGGGCCUACCAUUGAAAAAAAUGGGGGGGACCCUUCGGGUCCCCGAAAAAAUAGACGUCAAUUGGGGCCCCGCCCCCUUUUUCAAAAAAAAAAGAAAUACCGAUAGUGAAAUAGUACUGUGAAGGAAAGUUGAAAGAGAGUUGAAAUAGAACCGGAAAUCCUAAAAAAAAAGCAGUAGGUCUAUAGAGCCUGCGUACCUUUUGCAUAAGUGGUUCGCAAGUUUUUAAUUUGGCAAACUUGAACCGUAAGGUUGAGGUGUUACGAAAGUGAAAAAAAGUCAAAUGAACCCGAAACCAAGUGAUCUACCCCUGAUCUGGCGUGGGCGAAGGGUCCAAAAGGGCUCCGUGCCGCGGCCUAACCGGUGGAUGUGGCAAAAUCCUCGGAUGAAUUGGGGGUAGUGGUGAUACGCCAAUCGCACUUGGAUAUAGCUGGUUUUCUGCGAAAACUAUCUAAGUAGUGCCGACACUCCCUUUUUGUCGAGUCAGACAUAGGACGAUAAGGCCCUUUGUCUAAUGGGAAACAACCCAAAUCAUUAGUUAAGGACAUUAAUAAA